CGGUGAGGAACCUGCCUUUCAGAGGGGGACAACAGUUGGAAACGACUGCUAAUACCGCAUAACACAUAGGUGUCGCAUGGCAUUUAUGUCAAAGAUUUAUCGCUGAAAGAUGGCCUCGCGUCUGAUUAGCUAGUUGGUGAGGUAACGGCUCACCAAGGCGACGAUCAGUAGCCGGACUGAGAGGUUGGCCGGCCACAUUGGGACUGAGAUACGGCCCAGACUCCUACGGGAGGCAGCAG
RNAcentral lists this ribosomal RNA (239 nucleotides) under uncultured bacterium. Its description in RNAcentral is "partial 16S ribosomal RNA". It matches the Rfam family "Bacterial small subunit ribosomal RNA", at positions 116 to 354 of the family's 1533-position model. The record is from RNAcentral.